GAUAAACGCUGGCGGCGUGCCUAAUACAUGCAAGUCGAGCGAACGGACGAGAAGCUUGCUUCUCUGAUGUUAGCGGCGGACGGGUGAGUAACACGUGGAUAACCUACCUAUAAGACUGGGAUAACUUCGGGAAACCGGAGCUAAUACCGGAUAAUAUUUUGAACCGCAUGGUUCAAAAGUGAAAGACGGUCUUGCUGUCACUUAUAGAUGGAUCCGCGCUGCAUUAGCUAGUUGGUAAGGUAACGGCUUACCAAGGCAACGAUGCAUAGCCGACCUGAGAGGGUGAUCGGCCACACUGGAACUGAGACACGGUCCAGACUCCUACGGGAGGCAGCAGUAGGGAAUCUUCCGCAAUGGGCGAAAGCCUGACGGAGCAACGCCGCGUGAGCGAUGAAGGUCUUCGGAUCGUAAAACUCUGUUAUUAGGGAAGAACAUAUGUGUAAGUAACUGUGCACAUCUUGACGGUACCUAAUCAGAAAGCCACGGCUAACUACGUGCCAGCAGCCGCGGUAAUACGUAGGUGGCAAGCGUUAUCCGGAAUUAUUGGGCGUAAAGCGCGCGUAGGCGGUUUUUUAAGUCUGAUGUGAAAGCCCACGGCUCAACCGUGGAGGGUCAUUGGAAACUGGAAAACUUGAGUGCAGAAGAGGAAAGUGGAAUUCCAUGUGUAGCGGUGAAAUGCGCAGAGAUAUGGAGGAACACCAGUGGCGAAGGCGACUUUCUGGUCUGUAACUGACGCUGAUGUGCGAAAGCGUGGGGAUCAAACAGGAUUAGAUACCCUGGUAGUCCACGCCGUAAACGAUGAGUGCUAAGUGUUAGGGGGUUUCCGCCCCUUAGUGCUGCAGCUAACGCAUUAAGCACUCCGCCUGGGGAGUACGACCGCAAGGUUGAAACUCAAAGGAAUUGACGGGGACCCGCACAAGCGGUGGAGCAUGUGGUUUAAUUCGAAGCAACGCGAAGAACCUUACCAAAUCUUGACAUCCUUUGACAACUCUAGAGAUAGAGCCUUCCCCUUCGGGGGACAAAGUGACAGGUGGUGCAUGGUUGUCGUCAGCUCGUGUCGUGAGAUGUUGGGUUAAGUCCCGCAACGAGCGCAACCCUUAAGCUUAGUUGCCAUCAUUAAGUUGGGCACUCUAAGUUGACUGCCGGUGACAAACCGGAGGAAGGUGGGGAUGACGUCAAAUCAUCAUGCCCCUUAUGAUUUGGGCUACUCACGUGCUACAAUGGACAAUACAAAGGGCAGCGAAACCGCGAGGUCAAGCAAAUCCCAUAAAGUUGUUCUCAGUUCGGAUUGUAGUCUGCAACUCGACUACAUGAAGCUGGAAUCGCUAGUAAUCGUAGAUCAGCAUGCUACGGUGAAUACGUUCCCGGGUCU
RNAcentral lists this ribosomal RNA (1372 nucleotides) under uncultured bacterium. RNAcentral describes it as "bacterial SSU rRNA". It matches the Rfam family "Bacterial small subunit ribosomal RNA", at positions 28 to 1381 of the family's 1533-position model. The record is from RNAcentral.